Molecule: ribosomal RNA, 488 nt
Filed under: Perumytilus purpuratus
Lineage: Eukaryota; Metazoa; Mollusca; Bivalvia; Mytilida; Mytilidae
Description: partial 16S ribosomal RNA
Rfam family: Bacterial large subunit ribosomal RNA
Source: RNAcentral
AAAAACAUUUCUUUUUGUAUUUAUAAGAAGUGUAUGCCCUGCCCGGUGAUAAAUUAACGGCGGCCUUAACUUGAGGGUCCAAAGGUAGCAUAAUAAUUCGAUCUUUAAUUGAGGUCUAGUAUGAAAGGGUAUACAUUAAACACGCUGUCUCAAAAAAAUAAAUUGAAAUUAAUUUUAAAGUGAAGAAGCUUUAAUAGUUAAGAAAGACGACAAGACCCUAGAAGCUUUAAUUUUUAUUUGUAAUGUUUUAUAAAAAUAAUUUUGUUGGGGCAACAAGGUAAGAACAUAUUACCUUUUAUAUUUUUACUUACUAGUUUUAUCUUUUUUAUUGAAUUUGAUAAGCUACUCUAGGGAUAACAGCGCAAUCUUUUCUGAUAGUUGGUAUUGACUAAAAGGUUUGCGACCUCGAUGUUGGCUUUAGGUGACCUAAAAGUGUAGAAGCAUUUAUGAGUGGAUCUGUUCGAUCUUUAAAUCCUAACGUGAUCUGA